RNAcentral lists this long non-coding RNA (1581 nucleotides) under Homo sapiens (human). Its description in RNAcentral is "HSALNT0340573". Lineage: Eukaryota; Metazoa; Chordata; Mammalia; Primates; Hominidae. The record is from RNAcentral.
CUGCCAGUUGUGAGGGUGGCUAGACACUGUCUGGGAGACCUCAGGUCCCAUGGCUCUGGGAGCCAUCCCAUCUUGUGGGCCCAAACAGGCUAACCCCACUGGUAAUAUCCAGGCACUUGGGCGGCAGAGAAGGGGGAGUUUCUAGGAGCCUCCCCCAAGAGGGAAGAACAAAAAGGAAGGAGCCUAGCCUGGUCCUUUCCCCUUUGGUCCCAGGAGGCAGAUCCAGGACUCAAGGGGAGAUAUGGAGGGGCUGGCAUCUGUGAUCCCAGUAGCCUGCUGGCCAGAUCCCAGGCCUCCCAGACCUUCUAUUUAUCCCCCUCCCCCAGAUACACAUGCUGGUGCUGGACAGCUGGGCUGUGGCGGAAGUUUACAUACAAAGGGUUUGCUGGGCCAUCUCGGUACACACAGCUUCACUUCCUUCUGAGGCACAACCCGUGUCUGAGCUGCUGCCAUGGGGGUCCUGGGGGCCACAGAGGCCAUGGGGCAGGUUGGGAGGGUCUGCUCCCAGCCUCCCAGACCCUGCCACUCCUGCCUGUCCCCAGGCCCUGAUGACCUCUUAUCCUUCUGUGCCCUGCAGAUCCCCACAGUCAGAACUCAGGCACACUGGGCCUGCUGGCAGAGGAUGUUGGACCCAAAUCCAAUCCAUGUGUGAGUUGUUCCCAGGGAAGUGACGUGCCACGCUGCUUCACCCCAGCCUUGGGCCGCCGGGCUUGACAUGCUCAACUGGGGCAACGGAGCAAAUUCCCAGAACAAGUUUUGAGAAAGAUGAUUCAGAGCUUUGCAGAGGAUGAGGAAAGGGGAGAGCUUGCGGAUCCUUGCUGCCACCAGGACUGGCCUGGGGGCACGUGGCAGGCAGAGGCAGGCUCAGGGCAGCCAACAUUUGCCCUGGAGAAGCCUUAUGGCAAACACCAGGCACCAAGGUGCACAUCCCUGAUGGAUCCUGGGAUCAGUUGACACUCAAUCCACCUGCCUUCUGGGUCCUCUGGGCCCUCUGGGUCCAUGUGGCAGCUGGAGGUAUGGUAGACACUUUUUAAAAAAUGAGUUCUGGUAAGAAGAAGGUGAUAAAUGGCUAUUUGUCCACGUUGGGACCCGGAGGGGAGGGAUGGCAUGCCCUUACAUGGGACUCCUACCCCCAGCGGGGCAGCUGGCCACUCUGAGGGCAGUUUUGCACCUGCCUCCUGGCUGGAAAGUGAGUUCCCACUGUGCUGUCCCUCCCUGGGGCCCAGCACGGGGCCCGGCCCCACACCGACCUGAAGAGGUUGGUAGGAUGACUGAAUGAAUUGACGCUGGGAUGCAGCAGGGCCCAUGGGCAGAGGCUCCAGAGCCUGGGAAGGAUGGGGUGGCCUUUCUGUGGCCCUCCGAAUUGAGAGAGGUCUCAGAGGCCUGACACCACGGCUUUCCGUCCAGGGUUCCUGGUCACCCGCGGAGGGCUCAGAGCCCCGGUGGACUCGGGGUCCCGCCUUAAGGGGGGUGCCUAGGGCAGAAGGAGGAGGGAUGUCGGCCCCCUCAGACCCGCACCCCAGGCCCUCCCCACCACCUUUCCUUCCCUCAGGCCCUCUGUCUUCCCAGUCGCCCCGCCCC